CUACGGGAGGCUGCAGUAAGGAAUAUUGCGCAAUGGACGAAAGUCUGACGCAGCGACGCCGCGUGGGGGAUGAAGGUCUUCGGAUUGUAAACCCCUUUCGGCAGGGAAGAUGGAAUGGGGUAACCCAUUUGGACGGUACCUGCAGAAGCAGCCACGGCUAACUUCGUGCCAGCAGCCGCGGUAAUACGAAGGUGGCAAGCGUUGCUCGGAUUCACUGGGCGUACAGGGAGCGUAGGCGGUUGGGUAAGCCCUCCGUGAAGUCUCCGGGCCUAACCCGGAAAGUGCAGAGGGGACUGCUCAGCUAGAGGAUGGGAGAGGAGCGCGGAAUGCCCGGUGUAGCGGUGAAAUGCGUAGAGAUCGGGAGGAAGGCCGGUGGCGAAGGCGGCGCUCUGGAACAUUUCUGACGCUGAGGCUCGAAAGCGUGGGGAGCAAACAGGAUUAGAUACCCCCGUAGUC
Molecule: ribosomal RNA, 456 nt
Filed under: uncultured bacterium
Lineage: Bacteria
Description: partial 16S ribosomal RNA
Rfam family: Bacterial small subunit ribosomal RNA
Source: RNAcentral